AACGAACGCUGGCGGCAUGCCUAACACAUGCAAGUCGAACGAAGCCUUCGGGCUUAGUGGCGCACGGGUGCGUAACACGUGGGAAUCUGCCCUUCGGUUCGGAAUAACAGUUAGAAAUGACUGCUAAUACCGGAUGAUGACGAAAGUCCAAAGAUUUAUCGCCGAAGGAUGAGCCCGCGUAGGAUUAGGUAGUUGGUAGGGUAAUGGCCUACCAAGCCGACGAUCCUUAGCUGGUCUGAGAGGAUGAUCAGCCACACUGGGACUGAGACACGGCCCAGACUCCUACGGGAGGCAGCAGUGGGGAAUAUUGGACAAUGGGCGAAAGCCUGAUCCAGCAAUGCCGCGUGAGUGAUGAAGGCCUUAGGGUUGUAAAGCUCUUUUACCAGGGAUGAUAAUGACAGUACCUGGAGAAUAAGCUCCGGCUAACUCCGUGCCAGGAGCCGCGGUAAUCUGUAGUCGU
Molecule: ribosomal RNA, 460 nt
Filed under: uncultured bacterium
Lineage: Bacteria
Description: bacterial SSU rRNA
Rfam family: Bacterial small subunit ribosomal RNA
Source: RNAcentral